RNAcentral lists this long non-coding RNA (215 nucleotides) under Elaeis guineensis (African oil palm). Its description in RNAcentral is "long non-coding RNA (EGUI_LNC036062)". The record is from RNAcentral. Lineage: Eukaryota; Viridiplantae; Streptophyta; Magnoliopsida; Arecales; Arecaceae.
AGCAUCUCAUCAUAUUGUCUAUACAUGCAUAAGAUAAAUAUAGGAUGAUAAGUGAUUAAAGAGCUAAGAUUGUGAUGGACACUUACUCAAUAUAUGGGUCGACCUCCGUGCAGUUUAGCAAAAUAUCUGUCUCUGUCUGUUGAAUUUCAGUAUCAGUUAAUAUCCGAUGAACCUCGUGUCCAAGUUCAUGAGCGAGAUAGACAAAUAUUGAGAUC